This 406-nucleotide ribosomal RNA is filed under the name uncultured bacterium. RNAcentral describes it as "partial 16S ribosomal RNA". It matches the Rfam family "Bacterial small subunit ribosomal RNA", at positions 30 to 526 of the family's 1533-position model. The record is from RNAcentral.
AUUGAACGCUGGCGGCAGGCCUAACACAUGCAAGUCGAACGAGUGGCGGACAGGUGAGUAAUGUCUGGGAAACUGCCCGAUGGAGGGGGAUAACUACUGGAAACGGUAGCUAAUACCGCAUACCAUCGGAUGUGCCCAGAUGGGAUUAGCUAGUAGGUGGGGUAACGGCUCACCUCGGCGACGAUCCCUAGCUGGUCUGAGAGUAUGCACAGCCACCCUGGAACUGAGACACGGUCAAGCCUCCUACGGGAGGCAGCAGUGGGGAAUAUUGCACAAUGGGCGAAAGCCUGAUGCAGCCAUGCCGCGUGUAUGAAGAAGGCCUUCGGGUUGUAAAGUACUUUCAGCGAGGAGGCGUUACUCGCAGAAGAAGCACCGGCUAACUCCGUGCCAGCAGCCGCGGUAAUAC